Molecule: ribosomal RNA, 256 nt
Filed under: uncultured bacterium
Lineage: Bacteria
Description: partial 16S ribosomal RNA
Rfam family: Bacterial small subunit ribosomal RNA
Source: RNAcentral
GACAGAGGGUGCAAACGUUGUUCGGAAUUAUUGGGCGUAAAGAGCUCGUAGGCGGUGUGUCGCGUCGGCCGUGAAAACCUGCAGCUUAACUGUGGGCUUGCGGUCGAUACGGGCAUCACUGGAGUUCGGCAGGGGAGACUGGAAUUCCUGGUGUAGCGGUGAAAUGCGCAGAUAUCAGGAGGAACACCGGUGGCGAAGGCGGGUCUCGUGGGCCGAUGAUUGACGCUGAGGAGCGAAAGCGUGGGGAGCGAACAGG